AUAGUACUCCCUCCGUCCGAAAAUACUUGUCGGAAAAAAUAGAUGUAUCUAAAUGUAUUUUAGUUAUAGAUACAUCAAUUUUUAUCAAUUUCGCCAACAAGUGUUUCCGGACGAAGAAAGUAGAUA
Triticum aestivum (bread wheat) is the source of this 126-nucleotide non-coding RNA. The record is from Rfam. NCBI's taxonomy places the organism in Eukaryota, Viridiplantae, Streptophyta, Magnoliopsida, Poales, Poaceae.